AUAUAGGACAAUGGGGGGAACCCUGAUCCAGCCAUGCCGCGUGUCUGAAGUAGGUCUUCGGAUUGUAAAGCAAUUCACGUUGGGAGGAAGAGUUGUAGGCUAAUACCUGUCAAUAUUGACGCUACCAACAGUAUACACACUGGCAAACUUCGUGCCAGCAGCCGCGGUAAUACGAACGGUGCAAGCGUUAAUCGGAAUUACUAGGCGUAAAGCGCGCGUAGGUGGUUCGUUUAGUUGGAAGUGAAAGCCCCGGGCUUAACCUGGGAAUUGCUUUCAAAACUGACGAGCUAGAGUACGGUAGAGGGUAGUGGAAUUUCCUGUGUAGCGGUGAAAUGCGUAGAUAUAGGAAGGAACAUCAGUGGCGAAGGCGACUACCUGGACUGAUACUGACACUGAGGUGCGAAAGCGUGGGGAGCAAACAGG
This 423-nucleotide ribosomal RNA is filed under the name uncultured bacterium. RNAcentral describes it as "partial 16S ribosomal RNA". It matches the Rfam family "Bacterial small subunit ribosomal RNA", at positions 361 to 776 of the family's 1533-position model. The record is from RNAcentral.